This 30-nucleotide non-coding RNA is filed under the name Mus musculus (house mouse). Lineage: Eukaryota; Metazoa; Chordata; Mammalia; Rodentia; Muridae. The record is from RNAcentral.
GGAACUCCCCAUUAACAUGCCUACUUGUGA